This is a non-coding RNA of Ixodes scapularis (black-legged tick), 91 nucleotides long. NCBI's taxonomy places the organism in Eukaryota, Metazoa, Arthropoda, Arachnida, Ixodida, Ixodidae. The record is from Rfam.
CCGUCGAUAGCUCAGUUGGUAGAGCGGUGGACUGUAGAAGGUGAGAACUGCGGAAAUCCAUAGGUCGCUGGUUCGAAUCCGGCUCGACGGA